Long non-coding RNA from Daktulosphaira vitifoliae (grape phylloxera), 665 nucleotides. RefSeq lists it as uncharacterized. The transcript has 3 exons. The record is from RefSeq and is a predicted model, not a curated record. Lineage: Eukaryota; Metazoa; Arthropoda; Insecta; Hemiptera; Phylloxeridae.
AGUACAACACCGUCUUCGAGACCGGACGUAGACAAUCAUCCGAUCGCUUCAGCCAAAACGUUUUCUGCCUCUUGGGAUUUCCGAAGCGUUUACCAAUUCUUCGCUUCCGUUUCACAUUCUCCACUUGGUCAACUCAAAGAAUUGAUGAAAUUUUGAAUUCGCUUUUUACAUACAAAUGUAACGUGUCAAGUCAGCCAGUUUGAAGACAUGAAUUGAAGUUCUGUACAAUACAUCUAGUAAAUUGCAGUGACAUCAUGAAAUCCAACUGCAGAAAAUCGAUCAUUGGUUCAAUGGUCUGGUUGUGAUAGAUUAACGUUUCGCUUAAGUACACGACUGAACGGCGGAUAAGAAACCCUUGUCGUCGUCGAACUUGGCAGCGGUCGAAGGUUUGGCCGAAAUCUGUCAUGUUCGCAUCAACGGACUCGGACAAGUCGCGUGCAGUUUCAAUUAUUUACGUUAGACAAGCUGGACGGAUAUUUUUUAAAAUAAAAUACAAAUACAAACGAGAAUGUUAAAAAACUGUAAUGUCAUUUUCGUAAUGGUUUCUGACACGGGAAUUAUAUGAAAAACAUUUUCCUCGUGACACCUAUCGAUUGUUUAUAAACACAAAAUUGUGUUGAAAGUGGAAAUACUUGAUCAUUGAGUUGUAUAACACAUAUUAAUUG